Long non-coding RNA from Ailuropoda melanoleuca (giant panda), 1177 nucleotides. RefSeq lists it as uncharacterized. The record is from RefSeq and is a predicted model, not a curated record. Lineage: Eukaryota; Metazoa; Chordata; Mammalia; Carnivora; Ursidae. The transcript is spliced from 3 exons.
ACUGGCUGCUGUGCUGCGCGCCCGGUUCUGCAGGACUCAGCAUGCUGUGGAGCCUCCUGCCGCCCCACCCGCAGCCCUGGGCUGCAGCAGAGCGGGUUGGGGUGUGUCCGGUGAGCAGUGCUCCCACCCACUCUUCAGUCGGGUCUACAAACCUCGCAGCCGGCGUGGAAUUCCUGCACUGUCACUGCUGUCCCACUCCCGCCACCUCAUUCAGGCUGAGCAGUGGUCACCCGCCUACCCGCACAUCACCCGCGCGCCAAGAUGGAAAUGGGCCGCCCCGCCGCAGAAGAGGCAUUGUGCAGCCCGAGUCCGGAGUGUUAUUGGGGUCCCGGAUUUCUGGACUCUACUUUGCAUUCUCACGUGGCGCCGUGUUCCUCAGUCUGGGCCCCACUUCUGAAGCAGUUUCCUCCGGCCCCUAAGUAGCUGUGUGACAGAAAAAGUAUUGAUGGGGCUUGCUUUAAUAAUAGCCUCGAUGUUUUCGUAUGAGAUGCCCCGCGUGAGAUUUGACAAGACCCACUAGGAACUUCUAAAGACAUAACCUUGAAGCUGCCUUGUAACCACUGGAGGCAGGACUCAAACAAGCAUGAGGAAGUGGAGCCUGAAAUCCUGGAGAAGGACUGCCCAGCCUCCAGAAGGAGAAUCUAAGCCAAGUUUCCUCAUCCUUUUAGGGAUCUGUUUGCCUUUAAAGUAAAGUAGCAGAAAAUCCAGCUGUAGCUAUCGGCUAUGAACCAAAAGCAAAUCGGAACUGAAGCCUUCACCAUUUGCAAUUCCCAGCCCCCUUCUACAACUGUACCCAGAGCAAAUGAGGUCACCCUCUCCCUGUAGAGUCAGCAUAAGUCUGGGCAGAAGAUGACGCCGUUGACACUCAGCUGAAAACUGAGACUGCAGCAUUUGCAAGAUGCAGGAAAGAACAGAGGCUCAGACUCUGUCAUCUAUAUGCAGGCAAUGCAGGUAACAUGUUAAAUACCUAUAAUGGCCAUGAUAAUUAAAUCCAGUGAGAAAAGAAUGGCCAGCAGGGUGCCAGUGCCCAUAUUAGAGCUCUUGCAGACAAAGAAGAAGGCUCAAAUAUGUUGUUUUAAUUCUUCUGAAAAGAGAAAACACUUUUCUUUUUUGUUCAUAAAAAUAAUAUAUACUGUGGGGCGCCUGGGUGGCACAGCGGUUAAGCAUUUGCCUUCGG